ACUUACCUGGGCUCGAAGCACAGUGGACCGGGGUAGGAUACCCCUUUUCGCAAGAACUGCUGUGGAGGUGCUGCAUGGCUGUCGUCAGCUCGUGUCGUGAGAUGUUGGGUUAAGUCCCGCAACGAGCGCAACCCUUAUCGUUAGUUGCCAGCGGGUCAAGCCGGGCACUCUAGCGAAACCGCCUCGGAUAACGGGGAGGAAGGUGGGGAUGACGUCAAGUCCUCAUGGCCUUUAUGUCCAGGGCUACACACGUGCUACAAUGGCCGGUACAAACCGUCGCAAACCCGCGAGGGGGAGCUAAUCGGAAAAAGCCGGCCUCAGUUCGGAUUGGAGUCUGCAACUCGACUCCAUGAAGCUGGAAUCGCUAGUAAUCGCGGAUCAGCACGCCGCGGUGAAUACGUUCCCGGGUCUUGUACACACCG
This 422-nucleotide ribosomal RNA is filed under the name uncultured bacterium. RNAcentral's name for it is "bacterial SSU rRNA". It matches the Rfam family "Bacterial small subunit ribosomal RNA", at positions 969 to 1392 of the family's 1533-position model. The record is from RNAcentral.